GCAGACAGCCCGGCGAACCGCGCAAUGCGCUUCUUCUGCCUGCAGCAGAGAAAAGGAAAGAAAACUCCGCAGGGGCUCCGUUGGCUUCUCCACGAGUGACAACCAUGUUUUCCCAGAUAGAAGACCGGAGCCCUGCUCCUUUGCGAUCCGCCGAGGGCUGCAGAGAGCAUCCUCAUCCAUUUGGGCACCCCUGCCCAGGAAGAGCCCGGCCAUCCCUUUCCGGACUGGAUCCUUAAGAGGUGAAUUUUCUUCCGUGGAUUCCGAUUUGCUCCGUCUGACCAGCCUAGGCAAUCCAGCAUCGCGUGGUACCAGUGCCGCUGGGCACACUGGCUUCACGCCGGCUCCGCCUCACCAGCAAGCGCAUUCCCAGGUGGUCAGGCUCAGGAUGGACCAUGAGCUUUCAAAAAGGAAAAAGGUGGAAAUCCUCAACUAUGCUGCCAUCUGAAUAAGUGUUUCUUUGUAGAUGCACAGAGUCAAGGAAAAUUACAUCCCUGCAUUAUGUAAUGUACCAACAACGCACUUACCCACUGUUUUAAUCUAGGUUAUUCUUGAAAGCAGAGCCUGAGACAAAGCUUUUUCUGGAGGAAAUUCGCAUUUGAAUUGAUGGACUGAAUAAAGCAGAUUGCAGUCCCCAGUGUGGAUGGGCUUGAUCCAGUCUUCUAAGGACCCAAAUAAAAUAGGUGGAGGAAGCUUGAAUUUUCUGCCUGACUGUGGCGCUGGGACACCCAUCUUCUCCUGCCCUUGAACUGGGACUGACACCAUCAGUGCUCCUGGUUCUCAGACCUUCGGACAGCAGACUUGGGGCCUUCUCGGCCUCCAUUAUUGUGUAAGCCAAUUCCUUAUAAUAAAUAAGGGUUUAUUUAUUGAUAAAUCCUUA
This 877-nucleotide long non-coding RNA is filed under the name Homo sapiens (human). RNAcentral describes it as "DPPA2 upstream binding RNA". The record is from RNAcentral. Lineage: Eukaryota; Metazoa; Chordata; Mammalia; Primates; Hominidae.